RNAcentral lists this long non-coding RNA (270 nucleotides) under Lathyrus oleraceus (garden pea). RNAcentral's name for it is "Pisum sativum (pea) long non-coding RNA (PSAT_LNC012241)". Lineage: Eukaryota; Viridiplantae; Streptophyta; Magnoliopsida; Fabales; Fabaceae. The record is from RNAcentral.
CUUGUUUCACUUUUUUUUAUUUUUUUUCUCACUUUCAAAAUUCAUAUUAAAUUGAUAAAUGAUCCAAAGAAUAUGGGAAUUUUUGCAUUAUAUUCCUUAUUGUGUCUAGUUUUUUUUUUCUUUCCCUAAAUUGUGCAUGGCUGAAAAAUAUUUUGCCCUAGGGUUUGUGAACAUGUAUGCUAUUGGUACCUUGCCUUGCCAUAUCUUUUGUGAAAUGAUGGUUGUUUAUCCAAUGCUCAUGAGAUUUUGCAUGCUUAAACUAGACUCUUG